Molecule: long non-coding RNA, 547 nt
Organism: Ctenopharyngodon idella (grass carp)
Lineage: Eukaryota; Metazoa; Chordata; Actinopteri; Cypriniformes; Xenocyprididae
Exons: 3
Source: RefSeq, a predicted model, not a curated record
AGUGGUUGAUGAAAGCGAUGUUGUAAAGCGUCAUUGAACAGAGCAGAGGGUGGAGGAGCGAACAGGAGCUGUUUCCGCUCUUAAAGGGAUGAUCCCAGUGGAGUAACCUAGAGUAAAGUGUCUUGCUCAAGGACACACUGGUGGUGACGGCUGCGGCGAUCGAACCAGAAACCUUCAGCUGACCAGCUCAGCAGUUUAACCCACUACACCACAAAAUCAUGCUGAUGGAGAGCAGGCACACAAAUGUUUGGAGCAGAAACAGCAGCAGCCAGAUUGUCCCGCACAUCUUCUCCCACUCUUGCUUCAAGGUUGUGGGGUGCAGGGGUCCAUCAUCAUGGUCUUCCUCAUCCUCUGGAUCAACGAUGUCCCUAUUGAGAAGAGCAGCAGUGAGGGACAUGAUGGAUGACAAAGACAGGUGAAGGUGUUCACGGUGGUCAGCUGCAGAAUUGGCACAGCUGUGUUGAGAUGGCAGUAGGAUGUGGGGAUCACCGCCCGCAAAUAUGUCAUUGUUAGAACAAUAAAUUUGAAUAAAGCUUUGUUUCAUGUG